Molecule: small nuclear RNA, 104 nt
Organism: Monodelphis domestica (gray short-tailed opossum)
Lineage: Eukaryota; Metazoa; Chordata; Mammalia; Didelphimorphia; Didelphidae
Source: Ensembl
UUUUUGUUAGCAGCAUGUACACUAAAACUGGAAUGAUACAGAGAAGAUGAGCACGGUCCCUGUGUGAGGAUGGCACACAAAUUUGUGAAGCUUUCCAUAUUUUU